This 498-nucleotide ribosomal RNA is filed under the name uncultured bacterium. Its description in RNAcentral is "partial 16S ribosomal RNA". It matches the Rfam family "Bacterial small subunit ribosomal RNA", at positions 28 to 523 of the family's 1533-position model. The record is from RNAcentral.
GAUGAACGCUAGCGGCAGGCCUAAUACAUGCAAGUCGAGGGAGAAUGUUGGAUUCGUCUGACAUGAAACCGGCGCACGGGUGCGUAACACGUAUGCAACCUACCUUUAACUGGGGUAUAGCUCAGAGAAAUCUGAAUUAAUCCCCCAUAAGACUACGACAUGGCAUCAUGAUGUAGUUAAAGCUCCGGCGGUUAAGGAUGGGCAUGCGGUACAUUAGCUAGUUGGUGAGGUAAUUGCUCACCAAGGCUACGAUGUAUAGGGGGUCUGAGAGGAUGAUCCCCCACACAGGUACUGAGACACGGACCAGACUCCUACGGAAGGCAGCAGUAGGGAAUAUUGGUAAAUGGACGCAAGUCUAAACCAACCAUGCCGCGUGAAGGAUGAAGGCCCUAUGGGUCGUAAACUUCUUUUAUUAGGAAAGAAAAAACGGGAUGCGUCCUGUACUGACGGUACUUAAUGAAUAAGGAUCGGCUAACUUCGUGCCAGCAGCCGCGGUAA